RNAcentral lists this ribosomal RNA (596 nucleotides) under uncultured bacterium. Its description in RNAcentral is "bacterial SSU rRNA". It matches the Rfam family "Bacterial small subunit ribosomal RNA", at positions 126 to 709 of the family's 1533-position model. The record is from RNAcentral.
CUGCCCAAGAGACUGGGAUAACACCUGGAAACAGAUGCUAAUACCGGAUAACAACACUAGACGCAUGUCUAGAGUUUGAAAGACGGUUCUGCUAUCACUCUUGGAUGGACCUGCGGUGCAUUAGCUAGUUGGUAAGGUAACGGCUUACCAAGGCAAUGAUGCAUAGCCGAGUUGAGAGACUGAUCGGCCACAUUGGGACUGAGACACGGCCCAAACUCCUACGGGAGGCAGCAGUAGGGAAUCUUCCACAAUGGACGAAAGUCUGAUGGAGCAACGCCGCGUGAGUGAAGAAGGGUUUCGGCUCGUAAAGCUCUGUUGGUAGUGAAGAAAGAUAGAGGUAGCAACUGGCCUUUAUUUGACGGUAAUUACUUAGAAAGUCACGGCUAACUACGUGCCAGCAGCCGCGGUAAUACGUAGGUGGCAAGCGUUGUCCGGAUUUAUUGGGCGUAAAGCGAGUGCAGGCGGUUCAAUAAGUCUGAUGUGAAAGCCUUCGGCUCAACCGGAGAAUUGCAUCAGAAACUGUUGAACUUGAGUGCAGAAGAGGAGAGUGGAACUCCAUGUGUAGCGGUGGAAUGCGUAGAUAUAUGGAAGAACAC